AUUGAACGCUGGCGGCAUGCUUUACACAUGCAAGUCGAACGGCAGCGCGGGCUUCGGCCUGGCGGCGAGUGGCGAACGGGUGAGUAAUACAUCGGAACGUGCCCAGUAGUGGGGGAUAGCUCGGCGAAAGCCGGAUUAAUACCGCAUACGACCUGAGGGUGAAAGCGGGGGAUCUUCGGACCUCGCGCUAUUGGAGCGGCCGAUGGCAGAUUAGCUAGUUGGUGGGGUAAAGGCCUACCAAGGCGACGAUCUGUAGCUGGUCUGAGAGGACGACCAGCCACACUGGGACUGAGACACGGCCCAGACUCCUACGGGAGGCAGCAGUGGGGAAUUUUGGACAAUGGCGAAAGCCUGAUCCAGCAAUGCCGCGUGUGUGAUGAAGGCCUUCGGGUUGUAAAGCACUUUUGGCGGGAACGAAAAGGACUGUGCCAAUACCACGGUUCGAUGACGGUACCCGCAGAAUAAGCACCGGCUAACUACGUG
RNAcentral lists this ribosomal RNA (483 nucleotides) under uncultured bacterium. RNAcentral describes it as "partial 16S ribosomal RNA". It matches the Rfam family "Bacterial small subunit ribosomal RNA", at positions 29 to 507 of the family's 1533-position model. The record is from RNAcentral.